Molecule: long non-coding RNA, 219 nt
Filed under: Lathyrus oleraceus (garden pea)
Lineage: Eukaryota; Viridiplantae; Streptophyta; Magnoliopsida; Fabales; Fabaceae
Description: Pisum sativum (pea) long non-coding RNA (PSAT_LNC015672)
Source: RNAcentral
CUUACUAAGGGACGUAACAGGCCCACUCAAAAACCAUAAUUCCAACCAACCAAAAGCAUGGGGAACCAGCGCCCUGCUACGGUCGACCGUAGCAGGGCAUACAGAGGGAGAUUUCAAAAAUUAAAAUCUUUUUCAAAUUCAAAUCUCCAUGGGACCCCACACACCUCCAAUUACACCAAUAAUCAUCCAUUAAUUCCCUUUAUAUACACCAAAUUUGAU